Humulus lupulus (European hop) is the source of this 523-nucleotide long non-coding RNA. RefSeq lists it as uncharacterized. NCBI's taxonomy places the organism in Eukaryota, Viridiplantae, Streptophyta, Magnoliopsida, Rosales, Cannabaceae. The transcript is spliced from 3 exons. The record is from RefSeq and is a predicted model, not a curated record.
UCUCUCUUUACUGUUUUCUGGCUGGAAUUGAAUUCUGGGUUGAUUGGUCUGGAUUUUAUUGCUGUUUUUUUCUCUGAAUUACUGGGUUAGCAAUUGUUUGAAGCAGGAAGAUCUUAUCAGUUUUGCCUAAUGAUAAAAGCAGUUUAUAUGAGUUCUGUUUCAAUCAUUUCAGGACCACAAGAGUACAAUAAAAGCAAUUUACACGGGUUCUGAAUUUCUGGAGAGUGUUUUUGCUGGUGUUGAAGUUGGCUCGAUGCUUAUUUGUUUCGUCGAUUUCAGUUAUUCAGGAUUCACUCCACGAACAUAAACAACGGGUGGACUUGCCAAAAAGUACUUUUCCUUCGGAUAAAGAGAGAAGACAUUUCUACCUUAGGUUAAAGAGAGAGAGAGAGAAGACAUUUCUGUAGAGCAUCAGGUUUAAUCCUUAAUGGGCUUAUAUGCUUAUAGAGAUUGAAUGAUCUUAUUUGUUUGUUAUUCUGUUUAAAUCAAACUUGAACUAAAUUUAUUGUUUGUAUUGGUAUUA